Ostrea edulis (European flat oyster) is the source of this 1415-nucleotide long non-coding RNA. RefSeq lists it as uncharacterized. Lineage: Eukaryota; Metazoa; Mollusca; Bivalvia; Ostreida; Ostreidae. The transcript is spliced from 2 exons. The record is from RefSeq and is a predicted model, not a curated record.
UUCUGAGCGGGGAAUCAUUCAUCCGCCUGUAGUUGAUGAUUAGUUCAGUCUGCAAGUACUAUAGUUGAGAGCACUAUAGUAUUUUACUAACAGCGUAGAGGCUCCUGAUGGGUUCUGCACUUCAAAUGUGCUUUUCAAGGAUUUACAUGAAUUAUUAUAGUAUUAGAAACACUUGCUAAGAGCCUGACAAACAAAAGGAACGAUUGGAUAGAGUUUGCCCAACUCUCUAUUUUGUAUUGCCUGUAGGAGUUAUGAGAUUGAUCACUGUUCGUUAUCUUCACCUUGCAGUUAAACCAGUGCAUAGAACGUGAAAUACUAGUAUUACACUCUGUAAAUGUAGGGGCGGAUAGUUACGGAUACCAGCUGUAGGUGCCUGACACAGAGGCCAGAAGAUAUGUUUAAACACAUGUAGUGCAAGCUACCGAACCGUAAUGAGGAUAGAUGUUCAUUAUAGAUUGAUAAUUGUUUGAUGCUAAAUUCAUGUCACUUAUAAAAGCACCAGUAAAAACUAAUCUAUGACCUAAAUGGGAAAAAAAUUGUCAAUGUUGAGUAAUGAAAUUUCUUCAUAUGAACUUUUAAACGUGAAUUGAUAUUGAAGGACUUUACAUGCAAGGAGAGACAAACUUUGAAAUGAAUCCACCCCAAACCCAAGCAACAUUCCUUCGUAAUGAUUUCUUUAAAUAUAGUAUGUGUUAUAGCAUGUCGUCUUGUGUAGAUGAAUUAGAUAUGCAAGGAAGAUAGCAGUUGAACGAUCGUCAGCAACGGAUGACUCCUCUAAAUUUACAUCCUGGUGUAUAAAUGUAAUAUGAUGCAUAACAUGUGAAAGUGCAUACAUACCAUACUCUGUAUUGUUGUAAACAAACACUAAACUGGUUCUGGGCUUUGUUGACGUAAGCUUCGAAAUUUUCUGUAAACUUUGAUUGCGUACAUCAUAUGACGCUCCGUGAGAAACUGAUAUAAAGAGAAGGCUGGUAGUACAGAAGGUCAUAACAAAGAGACAAUGACAGAGAAAACAUCUCUACUGUUUUGGCUGUUGGUGUAUAUCGUGUCUACCUUCAUACUGGGGACUGUGGAGGUGUGUCAUUACCUACUCUCCCCUAUCUUCCAUAGGCGUGACUCUUGUGCUUCACCAACGGCAGUCUAUGCUACAUGAUGUUAAUCUUCAAGGAAACUUUCAAACACCCAAGACAAAGUCGUCUUCACCUUCCAUGCCGCCAGGGCCCUCACACUGGUUUUGAUCUUAUUCAUCAGCUUCAUUAACAAUGGUUGUGAAUAACAUAUUGGAUUACGAUGUUGCAAUGAACAUUUGUUGGAAACAAAGGGAUCAGUCAUGAACUUUGAAUAUCAUUAUAUUUGUUCAAUAAACUACCAUUGCCAUAUAUUUGCUCUCUGAAAUAAACUUAUUCAAAGAGGUC